GCAGCGCUGCUCUGAGCAGGGGAUGAGCGUUGCAGCAGGGAGGCAGACAGACGGACAGGACGGACAGGACGGACGGAGACAGGAUGGACAGACGGACAGGGCAGACAGAGAGACAAGAUAGACAGGCCGGACAGGAUGGGCAGGAUGGACAGGAGAGAUAGGCAGGACAGGCAGACAGGAUGGACAGAACGGUCAGGACAGACAGACAAGACAGACAGGACAGACAGACAAGACGGGAUGGACAGGAUGGGCAGGAUGGGUGGGAUGGACAGGGCAGAUAUAGGCAGGAAAGGCAGACAGGAUGGACAGAACGGUCAGGACAGACGGACAAGACGGACAGACAGACAGGAUGGACAGGACGGACAGGACAGAUGGGGUGGACAGGAUGGACAGACAGGACAGACAGACAAGACAGACAGGACGGACAGGAUGGGUGGGAUGGACAGGACAGGUAGGCAGGACAGGCAGACAGGACGGACAGGAGGGACAGGACAGACGGACAGGACGGACAGACAGAGUCAGACAGGAUGGACAGAACGGACAGGACAGAUGGGAUGGACAAGGCAGCCAGACAGGACAGAUGGACAAGACAGACGGGACGGACAGGACGGACAGGGCAGACAGAGAGGCGAGACAGGAUGGACAAGACAGACGGACAGGACAGAUGGACAGAGUCAGGACAGACAGAGGGACGGACAGGACAGCUGGGCAGGACAGACAGAGAGACAAGACAGGCUGGACAGAGGAACGGACAAGACAGACAGGAUGGACGGACAGAGGAACGGACAGGACAGACAGACGGACAGGAUGGACAGACAGAUGAGACAGGCAGGACAGACGGACGCACGUUGUGCCCCGGUGCCCUGUGUCCGGGUGGGGACGCUGCCGCCGCCAUCGCUCGGCUCCCGCGGCGCCGAACCAUUCCAUGGUUCUGUGACCUGCAAGGACCUUUCCGAUUGCACCCAUCCAUUCUAUGAUUCUGUGGCCUUCCAGGACCUUUCCAACCCAGCCCAACCAUUCCAUCGUUCUGUGAUCUUUAAGGACCUUUCCAGUCCAAUCCCACUAUUCCAUGGUUCUUUGAUUUUGAAGGACCAUUGUAUGAUUCUGUGA
RNAcentral lists this long non-coding RNA (1110 nucleotides) under Numida meleagris (helmeted guineafowl). RNAcentral describes it as "lncRNA (ENSNMEG00000001386.1)". The record is from RNAcentral. Lineage: Eukaryota; Metazoa; Chordata; Aves; Galliformes; Numididae.